This 473-nucleotide ribosomal RNA is filed under the name uncultured crenarchaeote. Its description in RNAcentral is "bacterial SSU rRNA". It matches the Rfam family "Archaeal small subunit ribosomal RNA", at positions 392 to 867 of the family's 1478-position model. The record is from RNAcentral. Lineage: Archaea; Thermoproteati; Thermoproteota.
CCGCUGAGGGGGUCUUUUGUCAGCUGUAAAUAGGCAGGCGAAUAAGGGGAGGGCAAGCCUGGUGUCAGCCGCCGCGGUAAUACCAGCUCCUCGAGUGGUCGGGGCGAUUAUUGGGCCUAAAGCAUCCGUAGCCGGUUCCGUAGGUCCUCUGUUAAAUCCAACCGCUUAACGGUUGACCUGCAGAGGAUACCGCGGGACUAGGAGGCGGGAGAGGCGGACGGUACUCCGCGUGUAGGGGUAAAAUCCUUUGAUCCGCGGAAGACCACCAGUGGCGAAGGCGGUCCGCCAGAACGCGCUCGACGGUGAGGGAUGAAAGCUGGGGGAGCGAACCGGAUUAGAUACCCGGGUAGUCCCAGCCGUAAACGAUGCUAGCUAGAUGAUUCAUUCGCAAGUCGCGAAUGAAGUGUCGCAGGGAAACCGUUAAGCUAGCCGCCUGGGGAGUACGGUCGCAAGACUGAAACUUAAAGGAAUUG